RNAcentral lists this ribosomal RNA (229 nucleotides) under uncultured bacterium. Its description in RNAcentral is "partial 16S ribosomal RNA". It matches the Rfam family "Bacterial small subunit ribosomal RNA", at positions 568 to 796 of the family's 1533-position model. The record is from RNAcentral.
UGCGUAGGCUGUUAAAUAAGUCAGUGGUGAAAUCCUAUAGCUUAACUAUAGAACUGCCAUUGAAACUAUUUGACUAGAGUAUGCGCGAAGUUGGCGGAAUGCGACAAGUAGCGGUGAAAUGCAUAGAUAUGUCGCAGAACCCCGAUUGCGAAGGCAGCUGACUAAAGCAUAACUGACGCUGAUGCACGAAAGCGUGGGUAUCGAACAGGAUUAGAUACCCUGGUAGUCC